UCAAACACCGCUUUCAGUACGAACACCGAAGUUAAGCAACGUUGAGCCUGAUUAGUAACUAAAUGGGUGACCGCUUGAGAAUAUCAGAUAGU
Non-coding RNA from Acanthosepion pharaonis, 92 nucleotides. Lineage: Eukaryota; Metazoa; Mollusca; Cephalopoda; Sepiida; Sepiidae. The record is from the annotation of a GenBank genome assembly.